AACAAGAGCCUUUGCAUAACACACGGAUAGGGUGGUAAAACACACUGAGUGUCAUAAUUUAGAAAGCACCACCAACUAUGAACUGCUUCCAUUUGGAUCUACAUGUCUGCUAGAGGUACUUUUUAUUUUAUUUUUUUUUAGCUACUAAAUCCAAGAAUAGGUGGGUUAAGAACAGACAUUUGAGUUACUAAAUCAAGAUCUUGAAAAUUAAAAAAAAAAAAAAAUCUACUGACACUGAUUUCACUGAGAUGUGGCUAGAAAGAAUGUUUCACUAAGAGCUGGGGAAAAAAGUUUUCUGUGCUGUAAAAUAAAACAACAAUUUGGGGCCAAGAAGAAUGCACACAACAAUGCUCAAGGACCCAGGUUCAAGCCUCAGUCCCACCUUCAGGGUGAGGGGACAGCUUCUGGAGUGGUUGAGAAGUGCUGCAGCCAUUAUAGCAAUGAUGCUGAUUAGCAAUUACUAUUUACUGAAUCCCUGCUAAAGCCAAGCCCAACAAAGAGAAGGCUUUACUUCUACUCCUUACAAUACAUCCAGAAAGCUCCAGGCAGGAGAUGAAAUGAGAAGGUAGCACCUGCAGAAGUGACCCUACUACCACCAUGUGCCAACAGACUGUCUGCACUUUCAUGGCUGUGUGAAGACACCCUGGACACAUGGAAGGCCAAAAGUCAGCUUUCUGACGCACAGGCAGGCCACAAGUAGAGUCUAGGAAGACAAUGAGUUGGUGCCAUCUCAAAACAUUACCUGCUUAUUUCACAGAUGACAAAAAUGAACUCCCUCAGGGACAAAAGUAGGUCUUGACUUUGGGCAAUGUUAUCACAAUAAAGAAGAGCUUUGGCCAGGAAAA
Molecule: long non-coding RNA, 845 nt
Organism: Erinaceus europaeus (western European hedgehog)
Lineage: Eukaryota; Metazoa; Chordata; Mammalia; Eulipotyphla; Erinaceidae
Exons: 2
Source: RefSeq, a predicted model, not a curated record